CAGGUAACUGUGGAGGUGGAGCUUAGACAGAAUGCCAACAGAAAAUAUCUCUAAUGCCAACAAAAUACCAUUUAUACUGAUAGAAUGAUGAAAUCCUACCUUUGAGGUACAACCUCACCCCUCAUCCCACAAGUGCACACACAGACAAAGGAAGAGGAAGAGAGAAAGAAAUGGAGGAGAAGCAUGGAGAAAAAAGUGUUCAACGGUGUCCAUGAUGAGCAAGCUGGGCAUGGAUGUACAUAUCCGUAACCUCAGGAAUUAUGGGAUUGAAGCCAGCUGAAGGUUCCAAGAAGCCCCACUGAAGACAAUCUUCUAACUAUGAAGAGAAGCGCUUCACUCUUGCUGAGCCCUGGCCAGACACAGCUUUCUGCAAUAUUCACAGACCUCUCUGAUCUCCAUGGACUCUGUAUGCCCAGUGCCCUGUGUGGCUGUUACCCUACAGGGGUCCUGCAAGGCUCUGUAGACAUCUUGGCCCAGUUAGAACCAGUGGUUGGGGAUUUCUGGGUAGAAGUCACCUUGUGUUCAAACCACCCUGCUUGCCAAGGUGCUAAACAUUACACCGAAGCUGCUUGGGGACCACGGUCUGACACAGUGCAGUUCUGUUCCCAUUCAGGGCAAUGGGAUGGGGAGGUAGCCACCCAGUGAGGGAGAGGUACACGCUGGUCAUGUGCUGGAGGACCUCCCCAGCCUGCAGUCUGUGUUGUGCGUGCACAGAGGCUCCACUCUUGUUCCAAAGUCCCAACCAGCCUCCGGUUUGUUGUUGGAACUGGAGCUGGUGAUUUGCUUUAAAUAGGCCCUGCACAGGCCUCAGUCUGUUUUUUUUAUUUUAUUUUAUUUUUUUUAUUGAAUGAGUCCUGAAGGUGCUUUCCAAGAAAUAAGGAAAAACCAACCUUACAGUGGGGACUCUGAGCUGAAAGGAAGGUGGCAGAGCCUUUCCCUGCAGCUGGAAGGCUGUAGCCAUGCAAAGUGUGGCCUGGGAGGCAGAAGGCUUGAUAGGAGUCUUCAGGGAGCCACGGAGCCCAUGGAGGGCAAGCCUCUCUCUCUCAAGCAUGUGAGUUUCUAGACUUAAGGCAGCAAAUGGUCACAAACUAAAUGACAUCCACAGUGCACAUCUAUUCUCUGCCCGGGAAUUGAGUCUGUCGCAGGACUGUGCCCUUUCCAAAAGCUCUGGGGAAUAACGUUCUUGCCUUUUACCCGGUGUUCCUUGGCAACCCUUGACCCUUGUCCCCUCCUUCCCACACCACAGCCUUUGCUGUUGUGUAUCUGUUUCCUCCCAGUCCUGUUUUGGAGGAAAAGUCCAUCCUCAUCCAGAAGGGUGAGGUGAUGACAUUAGGCACCGGGACCAAGCCACUAACCUAUCGUUUGUAGGGGACACUGCAAUCUGCAGCACUGUUAUGUGCUUCUGGGCACACAAGGAGGACCACACGCGUGUUUCAUGAACAUUCUGAGCUGGUGAGCAAAGAGCCUCUGAGGUGAGCUCAAAGGACAGGAAACAGUGUGUUCCAGGGUUAUGUGGGGCUGUGGGUGAGAGGCUGUUGGAAGGCAGAUCCGUCACUGUGGGAAGGUGUGGCUGAGCAUGGCGGUGGGAGCAGGUGGCAGAGGACAGCUGUUUGCAUCAGAGCAGACAGGAAGUGAAAAAGGGGAGGCCAGAGCCUAGGAAACAUGGCUGGUGUCCUCGAACAUCCCCUCAGGGUGAGAGAGGCAAAGAGGUCAAACGAGAUGGUUAACCGAAGCCUGAAGGUGAGAGAAAGCCAGUCAAGCAGCCUUCUGAGAGAAGGCCCCAGGCCAGGCCAGCUGCCGGUGAUGGAGAGGACCAAGGGGGUGAGAAGCAGGCAGAGGAGGAAGGCAUGGGAUGUCACCAAGGGCCUUGGAGGCUGUGUUGAUUUGAAUAAGAAUGGCUCCUGUGUUUGAAUGCUGAAUCAUCAGGAAGUGGUACUAUUUGAGAAGGAUUAGGAGGUGUGGUCUUGUUAGAGUAGGUGUUGCUUUGUUGGAAGAAAGUAUGUUGCUGAGGUAGGUGGUCUUUGAGAUUAAAAAGCUCAUGCCAGACACAAGUCUCAUAUUCUCUCUCUCUCUCUCUCUCUCUCUCUCUCUCUCUCUCUCUCUCUCUAUCUCUAUCUCUAUCUCUUCUCUCUCUUCUCUGCUGAAGAUCAGGAUAUAGCUGCCUCUCCAGGACCACGUCUGCCUGUUGCCAUGCUCCCUGGUGUGAUGAUAAUAGACAUUGUAAGCCAGCCCCCCCCAGCCUUUCACAUCAUUCCUCCUCCCCACAGCCCCUCAGCUCUGAGCAUCCGCAGUUCUUCCUUAUCUGUUUAGCUCUGACCUCACCGUUUGGUUUUGGAGAGCUGGAGCUUCUGGCUACUCCUUUCAUCAGCAGAGAUUUCUCCUCCCCCUGUUCUCCCUAGCCCACCGUGUCCACGAUUUAAGUACCGCCGUGCACCUCACUACCUCGGGGAAAACUCUUCUCCCAGGUUUCUGCAGGUUUCUCCCAAGUUUCUGUGUUGUAUGGAAGGGCUGUGUGUUGUGUGAAACUUUCCCUACGGAGACCACGUGCACACACACAAACACACCUGCUCGCCCCAGAUAGGGAACCCACGAUAGGCCAAAGGAAUAACUACACCAAAGUCCAGCUUGUUGAACCAGUGAGUUUACUGGGCUUACUAACAGGAGUGUGUGUGAAGGGUUACUUACAGGAGCAUGGAUGAGUUGAAGGUAUCUGUACCGCUGAGAGCCCAUCCCAGCAUGGGUGAUGACCCAGGAAGGCUUGACCCUGGGGCUGUUUUCAGGGCUUGCGGGCGCCUCUGUGGACUGGAGAAGCUUUUCCAGGCAGUCUUUCAGAUCAGAAUCCACUCCCCUGUCAGCUGUUUGCUGCUUCUGUGAUACCGGGGAGGCCUUCCUGAAUCUUGUGAGUGAAAGCGUCAAUCCGUACACUGUUAUACGCAACCAUGGCCUCUCUGUAUUAGCUUUCUUUCUUGUUGGUGUGGCCAAAAAAAAUGCAACAUUAUGCCACUUAAAGGAGAAUUUAUUUUGGCUUGGGGUUCAAAGGUACAGUUCACAGUGGUGAGGAAGCGACACAGUCCUUUUUGGUUCUCCCCCCCCCCCCCCCCGAGCUGGGGACCGAACCCAGGGCCUUGCGCUUCCUAGGCAAGCACUCUACACUGAGCUAAAUCCCCAACCCCGACACAGUCCUUUUUAAUUCAGUCUGAGUCCCCAGUCAACGGCUCUGCUCACGCUCAGGGUAGGUCUUCCCCCACAUUUAAUCUUCCCUGGAAGCCUGUCACAGACACAUCUGAAGAUGUGCCUCACUAACACCCUAGGGCCCAGCGCUGCCCAACCUUUUGCCAUAGUGACACGAUGUCUUCAUCUACAACUAUGUUGGGCUGCAUUCUUAUUGGUCCCAAGACACGUGUGGCCGGAGAGCUGUGGCUUAAGGUAUGCCUAGCCUAAAUGUUUCUGAAUCUAAUCCAACAGACAAUCAAAACAAACCGUCCAUCCCAUCUACCUUUCUCCUCUUUCCUUGGUGGCAGUCCGCAUGGGCUGACUGGACGAAGUUCACAGACUCAAGGUGUCAGAGCCACAAGAGGGAAGGCCCCCCGGCAUCUGUGGCUGACUCUCCACUUCCUAAGUAAGAAACAAUAAAAUUCUGUCUUA
Rattus norvegicus (Norway rat) is the source of this 3645-nucleotide non-coding RNA. NCBI's taxonomy places the organism in Eukaryota, Metazoa, Chordata, Mammalia, Rodentia, Muridae. The record is from RefSeq and is a predicted model, not a curated record.